This 429-nucleotide ribosomal RNA is filed under the name Bletilla sinensis. RNAcentral's name for it is "eukaryotic LSU rRNA". The stretch from base 276 to 429 matches the Rfam family "Eukaryotic large subunit ribosomal RNA", at positions 1 to 151 of the family's 3401-position model. The record is from RNAcentral. Lineage: Eukaryota; Viridiplantae; Streptophyta; Magnoliopsida; Asparagales; Orchidaceae.
GGCACGUCCGCCUGGGCGUCAAGCAUCGCGUCGCUCCGUGCCAGUUCCGUCCCGCCAAUGGGCGUGCCGGUCGUGGCGCGGAUGCGUAGAGUGGCUCGCCGUGCCCCCGUGCGCGGCGGGCUGAAGAGCGUGCUAUCGCCUCGUUGGCCACGGAUAACUGGGGUGGAUCGAAGCUGUGAGCUAGGCCCGCAUUGUCUUGUGCCGGCCCGAGAGGAGAUGGCACAUUCCCGGUGAUCCCGACCCAUGCGCCGGCCCACGGGCGGCGGCUCGGAAAGCGACCCCAGGAUGGGCGAGGCCACCCGCCGAGUUUAAGCAUAUCAAUAAGCGGAGGAGAAGAAACUUACGAGGAUUCCCCUAGUAACGGCGAGCGAACCGGGAUCGGCCCAGCAUGGGAAUCGGGCUGUCGCACGGCGGCUCGAAUUGUAGUCU